This 196-nucleotide small nuclear RNA is filed under the name Gossypium hirsutum (cotton). RNAcentral describes it as "U2 spliceosomal RNA". It matches the Rfam family "U2 spliceosomal RNA". From Rfam's summary of the family: U2 is a small nuclear RNA (snRNA) component of the spliceosome (involved in pre-mRNA splicing). Complementary binding between U2 snRNA (in an area lying towards the 5' end but 3' to hairpin I) and the branchpoint sequence (BPS) of the intron results the bulging out of an unpaired adenosine, on the BPS, which initiates a nucleophilic attack at the intronic 5' splice site, thus starting the first of two transesterification reactions that mediate splicing. The record is from Rfam by way of RNAcentral. Lineage: Eukaryota; Viridiplantae; Streptophyta; Magnoliopsida; Malvales; Malvaceae.
AUACCUUUCUCGGCCUCUUGGCUAAGAUCAAGUGGAGUAUCUGUUCUUAUCAGUUUAAUAUCUGAUACGUGGGCCAUUGGCUUACAUGAUAUUAAAUUUAUUUUUUGAGGUGGAGGGUCCAUCGCAUUAGCUUGUUACUGGGACUCUCAAGCGUUGCCCAAGUGUUGCACUAUUGCUCGGGCCUGGCGCACGCCAA